Molecule: ribosomal RNA, 253 nt
Filed under: uncultured bacterium
Lineage: Bacteria
Description: partial 16S ribosomal RNA
Rfam family: Bacterial small subunit ribosomal RNA
Source: RNAcentral
UACGGAGGGGGCUAGCGUUGUUCGGAAUUACUGGGCGUAAAGCGCACGUAGGCGGCUUUGUAAGUUAGAGGUGAAAGCCCGGAGCUCAACUCCGGAAUUGCCUUUAAGACUGCAUCGCUCGAAUCAUGGAGAGGUGAGUGGAAUUCCGAGUGUAGAGGUGAAAUUCGUAGAUAUUCGGAAGAACACCUAUGGCGAAGGCAGCACUCUGGGACGGUACUGACGCUGAGACGCGAAAGCGUGGGGAGCGAACAGG